Molecule: ribosomal RNA, 230 nt
Filed under: uncultured microorganism
Description: partial 16S ribosomal RNA
Rfam family: Bacterial small subunit ribosomal RNA
Source: RNAcentral
UACGAAGGGGGCUAGCGUUGUUCGGAAUUACUGGGCGUAAAGCGCGCGUAGGCGGUGUGCAUAGUCAGGGGUGAAAUCCCGGGGCUCAACCUCGGAAUUGCCUUUGAUACUGGCACGCUUGAAUCCGUGAGAGGGUGGUGGAAUGGCCAGUGUAGAGGUGAAAUUCGUAGAUAUUGGCCGGAACACCAGUGGCGAAGGCGGCCACCUGGCGCGGUAUUGACGCUGAGGCG